RNAcentral lists this transfer RNA (65 nucleotides) under Orthetrum chrysis. Its description in RNAcentral is "tRNA-Glu". It matches the Rfam family "tRNA". From Rfam's summary of the family: Transfer RNA (tRNA) molecules are approximately 80 nucleotides in length. Their secondary structure includes four short double-helical elements and three loops (D, anti-codon, and T loops). Lineage: Eukaryota; Metazoa; Arthropoda; Insecta; Odonata; Libellulidae. The record is from RNAcentral.
AUUUAUGUAGUUUAUAAAAACAUUACAUUUUCAAUGUAAAAAUAAAAGAUAUCUUUUCAUAAAUA